RNAcentral lists this unclassified non-coding RNA (137 nucleotides) under soil metagenome. Its description in RNAcentral is "partial internal transcribed spacer 1". The record is from RNAcentral.
AAGAGUUGCAAAACUCCCACAAACCAUCGCGAACGUUACCCAGACGUCGUUGCUUCGGCGGGCUCGCCCGCCGGGGGGACGCUACCAGACUCUUGCAGUUCUUCGGCCUCUCUGAGUAUGAUUUUUUAAAUAAGUCA